UCGGUUUCUCUCUCUCUCCAUCACGUAUUCGCUGGAUGAAUCAGUAGGAGAAAAAAACCAAUCUCUUCUCUCAAGGGUUUUCAUCCUCCUUUCGUCCUGCAAAUUGUCCGUUUCGAUCUCCUUCAUUUAUCGAUCCAUGUAUAACGGCAUCGGUCUACAGACUCCGAGAGGCUCCGGAACCAAUGGUUACAUCCAGAGCAACAAAUUCUUCGUGAAGCCCAAGUCAGCUAGGGUUGACACCAGCGCGGUCGGCGGAUCCGCGCAACCCGAGGGAGUCGGCGGCGUCCGGAAACCUAAUAAAGAUAUACUCGAGCACGAUCGGAAGCGUCAGAUCCAGCUGCGCCUUAUCGUUCUUCAGGAUGCUCUAGCCGACCAGGGUUUUACCGAUGAUGAGAUUGCGGAGAAGAUCGAGGAGGCGAAGAAGGCGCUAGAGGUGGAAUUGGCUGCAUCUGCUUCUACUGCUUCCGGCCGCCCUCCCUUAAGCAAGAGGUUUUCGGAGACACAAACACAUCAAAUUGCUGCACGGAAAGAGAAGCAGAUAGAAACUAUGAGAGCAGCCUUGAAAAUUGGGGAAGACAAGAAAGAGAAGAAGAAACAGGGUAAAAACAGUAUUCAUGAUUCUGAGGAUGAUUCUGGACAUUCUGAUCCUGAAAGGUAUUUUAAUGAGGGACAUGAUGACAAAGAGAAGAAAGGAUUUGAAAAUCAAGGGUAUCCCAAUCCUAGUAAGAAGAAGAAAAGUAAUGAUACGGAUUUUGAUUCAGAUGGAGAUGCCUUAGCUAGAGAAAAAAAUGGGAAACUACUAAAUGAAGUGGGUGGCCUUGAUUCUAGGCAUGUGGAUUCUUAUAGUGGUGAUGAAAAAGGAAAAGGUAAAAAGGAAAUUUCUAUGAAAUAUAAAAAGUCUAGUACAAGCCUAACUAAUAACAGCUUAGAGAUUGAUAGUGGAAAGGAAAAUGCAAGCAAAAAUAAGAAACAUGAGCAGAGACGUGUAAGGAAAUCCUCGGAUGAAUCAGGAUCUGAAACUGAUGAUGAGAGUAGCAUUAGAAGGAAGAUAAUGGAGAAAUACACAAAACCGCACCACAAGCAUACGAUUGAUUAUUCUGAUGGUGAUUGUAGAAAGAAAAUUUUAACUAGAGAUACUAAGCAUGAUAGAGAUUGUGAAAUUGCCAAGACAAAGCUUAAAGCUGAAGAGAAGAAGAAGAAGAAGAAACGACAUGACUCUGAUGAAGAAAGCUCGGACUCUGAUAGCGAUAAGAAACGUCAAGUGUACAAGAAGAGGAAAAGGUAUGACACAGAUUCUGAUUCAGAUGGAGUUUAUUUGGCUAAAGAAAGAAAAGGGAGUCUACUGAACAAAGACCGAAGACUUGAACCUGAGCAUGUUGAUUCAGACGGUGGUGAUAAAAAAAGAAGAGGCGGAAAGGAAAUUUCCUUGAAACAGAACAAGUACACAAAUAGACAGAAUAAUAACAGCUCAGAGAUUGGUGGUGGAAAUGAAAAAGCAAGUAAAAAGAAGAAGCAUGAGAAGAGAGAUGUUAGAGACUAUUCAGAGGAAUCAGGAUCUGAAACUGUUGACUAUAACAGUAGUAGGACUAAACUAGAGAAAUACAUGAAGCCUAGCCACAAGCACAUGAAUGAUUAUUCUGAUGAUGAUGAUAGAAAGAACAUUUUUACUGAGGACACCAAGCAUGAUAGAAAUAGCAAGUUUGACCGUGAGAAGCAUAACGUUAGGGAUAAGAAGAAGAGGCGGGAUGAUGCUGAUGAAGAGAUCUCUGACACUGAUGUCGAUAAGAGGCAUCCAGAGCACAAGAUUGAUUAUUCUGAUGUUAAUAGUAGAAAUAAAUUUUUUACUAAAGACACCAAGUAUGAUAGAAUUAGCAAUUUUGACCGUGACAAGCAUAAAGUUGGAGAGAAGAAGCAGAAGCGUCAUGAUUCUGAUGAAGAGAGCUCUGACACUGGUAGUGACAAGAGGCAUCCAGAGCACAAGAAAUCAACUGAGGCUAGCAGGAGAAAGAAGGGGAGGCUUGAAGCUGAUGAUGAAAACAGCGACUCUGAUGGUGGAAAGAAAAAAAAGACCGUUAAGAGUGCGGGGUACCAUAGUUUUCAAAAGGAGUCGGAUUUGGAUAGUGAUGCAAGUGAAAGCGAUAGCUACAGCUCAUAUUAUAGCAGUUCCUCUUCCGAUGCAAGCAGUGGCCACAGAGAAGAGAAGAAUGACCGAAGAAGAGCAGGGGUUAAGGAAGUCAGAAGAGUAGAUGGCAAAAGUUCCAAGAAGCGUGAAUCUACAUCUGCUACUAAAACAGGCCCGAGUUCCAAUGGUGACCGUGAUGGAGUAAAAGUUAAACCAAAUCAUUUCACUGAUGAUGAUGGCAGAAGUAAGAACCUUGAUUACUCUAAGAGGAGUGACAAAAGUGACUACCUCCACUCAAUAAGAGACACUAACAGUAUCCAUGCACACCAUAAGCAAGAAGCAGGAAAGGAACAAAACUUCUAUGAUGGUAAGCAUGCUGAUGUAUCUAGAAUGGCACAUGAUGUGAGGAGAACUGAAAGGGAUAGCAAAAGGUAUGAUGGUAGUCAUAAGGCUGGUGAUGAUCACAUGGAGGGCUAUCAGCCUAAUAAAUAUGUUGAAAUGCAGGGUCAGACAGCUUAUUCUGCUGAAGAUAAACUUGGUAGAAUGAAGAAUGUCACGGAUGGUGAGAGAUUUGGGGACAAGCUGUCUUCACAAGAACUCAUUGCUGUAGAUAGACAUGGCAGCAGUAAACACACAUAUAAGAAGCAUGAUUAUGAAGAUGGUAAGAGAAAUGGGCACCUUGAAAAGCAUUCUUCAAAAGAAAAUUUUAAUGAAGACAUACUUGAGGGUAGAACUUUCACAGAAGAUGAAGACAGAAAGAGGAAAAGGUGUGAGAACAAGAAGACUGCAGAAGGUUUCUCCCUUCCAGACAAAUAUGGUAGCAGAAACAACAGCGAAGAUAAGCAGGUUUAUGAUGAAAGGAAGCGGACAAAGUAUGAGGAUAAACAGGUUCCGAAUGACCUCUUAAAUGAAGACACACAUGGCACUAGAAGACGUUUUGAAGAUGACCACAAUUAUGAAGGUCGUCAAGGUGGCUACAGGGAAAAGCAAGCCUCAAAAGAACGGAGCCAUGAGGAUAAAUAUAGAAGCAGAAGUCAUGAUGAGGAUCAUCAAAGUUAUGGUGAUAAUAAGAGGAGAAAAUAUGACGAGUCUCAGAAACAUUCUAGAAGAGACAGGCGUGAGCAUGAGUAUAGUGAAGAUAAAGGUCAUCACAGGCGGCACUAAUGCUGACAAUGGCCCUUGCUAUCCUAGUGUGAUAGGUGCUACGCCUGUAUGUAGUGAAUUCUGCACUUUAUACUUUUGAUGUUGAAUGAUUGUGACAAACCCAUCUGCUAUUGUAGAGUCUUUACAGACAUGGUCAUCAGAAUCAGAAGGCUCCAUAUCACUUGUCAUUGAUGAUGCUGAUAUACCUGCAGCAGUUUAUGUAUGUGUGUGUGAACUUGUUUUUACCCCCUUAGGUAUGCAAGGCCAAGGGCAGUAUCCCAACAGUUUGUGUUGUUUCAAAAGGCGAUCCAGUGGUAUUGUUAAUUGUUAUGAAAUCAGAUUUUCUUUGAUGGAGCAGUUUUCUGCUUACUGUUGGAAUCGGAAUUAGAAGUCUUCUGUGGUUUUUCA
This is an RNA transcript of Dendrobium catenatum, 3673 nucleotides long. RefSeq lists it as uncharacterized. NCBI's taxonomy places the organism in Eukaryota, Viridiplantae, Streptophyta, Magnoliopsida, Asparagales, Orchidaceae. The transcript has 3 exons. The record is from RefSeq and is a predicted model, not a curated record.